AGAGUUUGAUCCUGGCUCAGAUUGAACGCUGGCGGCAUGCUUUACACAUGCAAGUCGAACGGGGACAAGGUGCUUGCUCCUUAAUCUAGUGGCGAACGGGUGAGUAAUGCAUCGGAACGUACCCGGUAGUGGGGGAUAACUCGCCGAAAGGCGUGUUAAUACCGCAUAUUCUGUGAGGGGGAAAGCGGGGGACCUUAAGGCCUUGUGCUUCCGGAGCGGCCGAUGUCUGAUUAGCUAGUUGGUGAGGUAAAGGCUCACCAAGGCGACGAUCCGUAGCGGGUCUGAGAGGAUGAUCCGCCACACUGGGACUGAGACACGGCCCAGACUCCUACGGGAGGCAGCAGUGGGGAAUUUUGGACAAUGGGCGCAAGCCUGAUCCAGCCAUGCCGCGU
Molecule: ribosomal RNA, 392 nt
Filed under: uncultured beta proteobacterium
Lineage: Bacteria; Pseudomonadati; Pseudomonadota; Betaproteobacteria
Description: bacterial SSU rRNA
Rfam family: Bacterial small subunit ribosomal RNA
Source: RNAcentral